GAUGAACGCUAGCUACAGGCUUAACACAUGCAAGUCGAGGGGCAGCAUUUUAGUUUGCUUGCAAACUAAAGAUGGCGACCGGCGCACGGGUGAGUAACACGUAUCCAACCUGCCGAUAACUCGGGGAUAGCCUUUCGAAAGAAAGAUUAAUAUCCGAUAGUAUAUUAAAACCGCAUGGUUUUACUAUUAAAGAAUUUCGGUUAUCGAUGGGGAUGCGUUCCAUUAGUUUGUUGGCGGGGUAACGGCCCACCAAGACUACGAUGGAUAGGGGUUCUGAGAGGAAGGUCCCCCACAUUGGAACUGAGACACGGUCCAAACUCCUACGGGAGGCAGCAGUGAGGAAUAUUGGUCAAUGGACGAGAGUCUGAACCAGCCAAGUAGCGUGAAGGAUGACUGCCCUAUGGGUUGUAAACUUCUUUUAUAUGGGAAUAAAGUAUUCCACGUGUGGGAUUUUGUAUGUACCAUAUGAAUAAGGAUCGGCUAACUCCGUGCCAGCAGCCGCGGUAAUACGGAGGAUCCGAGCGUUAUCCGGAUUUAUUGGGUUUAAAGGGAGCGUAGGUGGAUUGUUAAGUCAGUUGUGAAAGUUUGCGGCUCAACCGUAAAAUUGCAGUUGAAACUGGCAGUCUUGAGUACAGUAGAGGUGGGCGGAAUUCGUGGUGUAGCGGUGAAAUGCUUAGAUAUCACGAAGAACUCCGAUUGCGAAGGCAGCUCACUAGACUGCAACUGACACUGAUGCUCGAAAGUGUGGGUAUCAAACAGGAUUAGAUACCCUGGUAGUCCACACAGUAAACGAUGAAUACUCGCUGUUUGCGAUAUACAGUAAGCGGCCAAGCGAAAGCAUUAAGUAUUCCACCUGGGGAGUACGCCGGCAACGGUGAAACUCAAAGGAAUUGACGGGGGCCCGCACAAGCGGAGGAACAUGUGGUUUAAUUCGAUGAUACGCGAGGAACCUUACCCGGGCUUAAAUUGCAUUUGAAUAAUCUGGAAACAGGUUAGCCGCAAGGCAAAUGUGAAGGUGCUGCAUGGUUGUCGUCAGCUCGUGCCGUGAGGUGUCGGCUUAAGUGCCAUAACGAGCGCAACCCUUAUCUUUAGUUACUAACAGGUCAUGCUGAGGACUCUAGAGAGACUGCCGUCGUAAGAUGUGAGGAAGGUGGGGAUGACGUCAAAUCAGCACGGCCCUUACGUCCGGGGCUACACACGUGUUACAAUGGGGGGUACAGAAGGCAGCUACCUGGCGACAGGAUGCUAAUCCCAAAAACCUCUCUCAGUUCGGACUGGAGUCUGCAACCCGACUCCACGAAGCUGGAUUCGCUAGUAAUCGCGCAUCAGCCACGGCGCGGUGAAUACGUUCCCGGGCCUUGUACACACCGCCCGUCAAGCCAUGGGAGCCGGGGGUACCUGAAGUGCGUAACCGCGAGGAGCGCCCUAGGGUAAAACUGGUGACUGGGGCUA
This 1452-nucleotide ribosomal RNA is filed under the name uncultured bacterium. RNAcentral's name for it is "bacterial SSU rRNA". It matches the Rfam family "Bacterial small subunit ribosomal RNA". The record is from RNAcentral.